CGCUGGCGGCGUGCCUAAUACAUGCAAGUAGAACGCUGAAGAGAGGAGCUUGCUCUUCUUGGAUGAGUUGCGAACGGGUGAGUAACGCGUAGGUAACCUGCCUUGUAGCGGGGGAUAACUAUUGGAAACGAUAGCUAAUACCGCAUAACAAUGGAUGACACAUGUCAUUUAUUUGAAAGGGGCAAUUGUUCCACUACAAGAUGGACCUGCGUUGUAUUAGCUAGUAGGUGAGGUAAUGGCUCACCUAGGCGACGAUACAUAGCCGACCUGAGAGGGUGAUCGGCCACACUGGGACUGAGACACGGCCCAGACUCCUACGGGAGGCAGCAGUAGGGAAUCUUCGGCAAUGGGGGCAACCCUGACCGAGCAACGCCGCGUGAGUGAAGAAGGUUUUCGGAUCGUAAAGCUCUGUUGUAAGUCAAGAACGGGUGUGAGAGUGGAAAGUUCACACUGUGACGGUAGCUUACCAGAAAGGGACGGCUAACUACGUGCCAGCAGCCGCGGUAAUACGUAGGUCCCGAGCGUUGUCCGGAUUUAUUGGGCGUAAAGCGAGCGCAGGCGGUUUGAUAAGUCUGAAGUUAAAGGCUGUGGCUCAACCAUAGUUCGCUUUGGAAACUGUCAAACUUGAGUGCAGAAGGGGAGAGUGGAAUUCCAUGUGUAGCGGUGAAAUGCGUAGAUAUAUGGAGGAACACCGGUGGCGAAAGCGGCUCUCUGGUCUGUAACUGACGCUGAGGCUCGAAAGCGUGGGGAGCGAACAGGAUUAGAUACCCUGGUAGUCCACGCCGUAAACGAUGAGUGCUAGGUGUUGGAUCCUUUCCGGGAUUCAGUGCCGCAGCUAACGCAUUAAGCACUCCGCCUGGGGAGUACGACCGCAAGGUUGAAACUCAAAGGAAUUGACGGGGGCCCGCACAAGCGGUGGAGCAUGUGGUUUAAUUCGAAGCAACGCGAAGAACCUUACCAGGUCUUGACAUCCCGAUGCUAUUUCUAGAGAUAGAAAGUUACUUCGGUACAUCGGUGACAGGUGGUGCAUGGUUGUCGUCAGCUCGUGUCGUGAGAUGUUGGGUUAAGUCCCGCAACGAGCGCAACCCCUAUUGUUAGUUGCCAUCAUUCAGUUGGGCACUCUAGCGAGACUGCCGGUAAUAAACCGGAGGAAGGUGGGGAUGACGUCAAAUCAUCAUGCCCCUUAUGACCUGGGCUACACACGUGCUACAAUGGUUGGUACAACGAGUUGCGAGUCGGUGACGGCGAGCUAAUCUCUUAAAGCCAAUCUCAGUUCGGAUUGUAGGCUGCAACUCGCCUACAUGAAGUCGGAAUCGCUAGUAAUCGCGGAUCAGCACGCCGCGGUGAAUACGUUCCCGGGCCUUGUACACACCGCCCGUCACACCACGAGAGUUUGUAACACCCGAAGUCGGUGAGGUAACCUUUUGGAGCCAGCCGCCUAAGGUGGGACAGAUGAUUGGGGUGA
RNAcentral lists this ribosomal RNA (1465 nucleotides) under Streptococcus thermophilus. Its description in RNAcentral is "bacterial SSU rRNA". It matches the Rfam family "Bacterial small subunit ribosomal RNA". The record is from RNAcentral. Lineage: Bacteria; Bacillati; Bacillota; Bacilli; Lactobacillales; Streptococcaceae.